CUGUUAAUGCUAAUCGUGAUAGGGGUUUUUACUUUGACUGACUCCUACAUGUUAGCAUUAACAG
MicroRNA precursor from Erinaceus europaeus (western European hedgehog), 64 nucleotides. Ensembl annotates it as microRNA 155. Its record names the gene MIR155. The record is from Ensembl. Lineage: Eukaryota; Metazoa; Chordata; Mammalia; Eulipotyphla; Erinaceidae.